RNAcentral lists this ribosomal RNA (274 nucleotides) under uncultured Thauera sp. RNAcentral describes it as "partial 16S ribosomal RNA". It matches the Rfam family "Bacterial small subunit ribosomal RNA", at positions 1109 to 1382 of the family's 1533-position model. The record is from RNAcentral. Lineage: Bacteria; Pseudomonadati; Pseudomonadota; Betaproteobacteria; Rhodocyclales; Zoogloeaceae.
CACUAGUUGCCAUCAGUUUAGUUGGGCACUCUAGUGAGACUGCCGGUGACAAACCGGAGGAAGGUGGGGAUGACGUCAAGUCCUCAUGGCCCUUAUGGGUAGGGCUUCACACGUCAUACAAUGGUCGGUACAGAGGGUUGCCAAGCCGCGAGGUGGAGCCAAUCCCUUAAAGACCGAUCGUAGUCCGGAUCGUAGUCUGCAACUCGACUACGUGAAGUCGGAAUCGCUAGUAAUCGCAGAUCAGCAUGCUGCGGUGAAUACGUUCCCGGGUCUU